This 96-nucleotide small nuclear RNA is filed under the name Mus pahari (shrew mouse). RNAcentral's name for it is "snRNA (MGP_PahariEiJ_G0033796.1)". Lineage: Eukaryota; Metazoa; Chordata; Mammalia; Rodentia; Muridae. The record is from RNAcentral.
GCUUCCACCAAAGAGGAAUCUAUCAGACAUAAUUGAAGAUUUGCAUGGCCCCUGCAUAAAGGUGACACACAAACUCCCGAAGGGUUUACAUUUUUC